Molecule: ribosomal RNA, 468 nt
Filed under: uncultured bacterium
Lineage: Bacteria
Description: partial 16S ribosomal RNA
Rfam family: Bacterial small subunit ribosomal RNA
Source: RNAcentral
GACGAACGCUGGCGGCGUGCUUAAUACAUGCAAGUCGAACGGACAGGUCCUGCUUUUGUUGGUUUCUCGAUUGCCGAACGGGUGAGUAUCACGUGUGUAACCUGUCCUUGACUUUGUGGUAUCUUCACGAAACUCCGGCUCAUACCCCGUAGGAUCUCUUGCUGCGUGUUGGGGGUUGGUGAGUUUCGGCUGUUGGGUAUGGACUCGCGGCUUAUCAGCUUGUUGGUGGGGUAGUGGCUUACCAAGGCUUUGACGGGUAGCCGGCCUGAGAGGGUGACCGGCCACAUUGGGACUGAGAUACGGCCCAGACUCCUACGGGAGGCAGCAGUGGGGAAUAUUGCACAAUGGGCGGAAGCCUGAUGCAGCAACGCCGCGUGCGGGAUGACGGCCUUCGGGUUGUAAACCGCUUUCGCCUGUGACGAAGCGUGAGUGACGGUAAUGGGUAAAGAAGCACCGGCUAACUACGUG